RNAcentral lists this ribosomal RNA (476 nucleotides) under uncultured bacterium. Its description in RNAcentral is "partial 16S ribosomal RNA". It matches the Rfam family "Bacterial small subunit ribosomal RNA", at positions 30 to 506 of the family's 1533-position model. The record is from RNAcentral.
AUUGAACGCUGGCGGCAUGCCUUACACAUGCGAGUCGAACGGUAACAGGUUAAGCUGACGAGUGGCGAACGGGUGAGUAAUGUAUCGGAACGUGCCCAGUCGUGGGGGAUAACUGCUCGAAAGAGCAGCUAAUACCGCAUACGACCUGAGGGUGAAAGCGGGGGAUCGCAAGACCUCGCGCGAUUGGAGCGGCCGAUAUCAGAUUAGGUAGUUGGUGAGGUAAAGGCUCACCAAGCCGACGAUCUGUAGCUGGUCUGAGAGGACGACCAGCCACACUGGGACUGAGACACGGCCCAGACUCCUACGGGAGGCAGCAGUGGGGAAUUUUGGACAAUGGGCGCAAGCCUGAUCCAGCCAUGCCGCGUGCGGGAAGAAGGCCUUCGGGUUGUAAACCGCUUUUGUCAGGGAAGAAAAGGUUCUGGCUAAUACCUGGGACUCAUGACGGUACCUGAAGAAUAAGCACCGGCUAACUACGU